GAUACUUCUUCAGAAGACGGUGCCUAGAAUGAUUUUUGGGCAAGACAGUUUGAGCUUGUACCCCAAGACUGCGUUCUUUGGAACUCUGUUCUUUGUCCAGUAUUCAAGGCUGUUCGACCGCAUCUUGUUCACCACCAUGAGAACAAUUAUAUUGACAGAGAAGUGUCUCUGACUAAAAAGUA
Vidua chalybeata is the source of this 182-nucleotide long non-coding RNA. RefSeq lists it as uncharacterized. Lineage: Eukaryota; Metazoa; Chordata; Aves; Passeriformes; Viduidae. The record is from RefSeq and is a predicted model, not a curated record. The transcript has 2 exons.